Molecule: long non-coding RNA, 430 nt
Organism: Eutrema salsugineum
Lineage: Eukaryota; Viridiplantae; Streptophyta; Magnoliopsida; Brassicales; Brassicaceae
Exons: 2
Source: RefSeq, a predicted model, not a curated record
AUCCACGUCUCGUGAUAUAGAACUUCCUCUAACAUCGAUUUCGAACCUUACUUCUCUUUGUUCAGUAAGAUUGAAGUCUAGUCUAGCUAACAACGAGUUUGUAACAUCUCCGAGCAACAUAUAUAAUGGCAAAGAAUGAAUUUUCACCUCUUUUAUUAUUGUCGUUGAUGGUGCUUGCUCUCUUCCUUAUGCCAAUAAUUUCAGGACAAAUGUUACCAUGUCUACCUGGAGAAUGUACAAAAACAGAAGCAUGCGAUGCAGCUUGCAAAUCUAAAGGAUACAAAGGAGGGGCUUGUAUAAGGAUGAGUUUUGGCGAAAAGACUGGUGCUUGUUGCUGCAAAGCUAACGUUGAAUCUCAGGAUUUUUCCAAAUCUGAUGAUACCAAUGAUGUCCGCAUUACUAAUUAAUUCAUCAUCUUAUAUUAAUGUAC